UACGUAGGGUGCAAGCGUUGUCCGAAAUUAUUGGGCGUAAAGAGCGCGUAGGCGGUCCGAUAAGUCGGCUGUGAAAGUCCAGGGCUCAACCCUGGAAAGCCGGCCGAUACUGUCGGACUAGAGUCCGGAAGAGGCAAGUGGAAUUCCCGGUGUAGCGGUGAAAUGCGCAGAUAUCGGGAGGAACACCAAUUGCGAAGGCAGCUUGCUGGGACGGUACUGACGCUGAGGCGCGAAAGCGUGGGGAGCAAACAGG
This 253-nucleotide ribosomal RNA is filed under the name uncultured bacterium. Its description in RNAcentral is "partial 16S ribosomal RNA". It matches the Rfam family "Bacterial small subunit ribosomal RNA", at positions 524 to 776 of the family's 1533-position model. The record is from RNAcentral.